RNAcentral lists this unclassified non-coding RNA (1512 nucleotides) under Hevea brasiliensis (rubber tree). Lineage: Eukaryota; Viridiplantae; Streptophyta; Magnoliopsida; Malpighiales; Euphorbiaceae. The record is from RNAcentral.
GCCGUCUGAAACUCUGGAUCAUUCUGUCAAGCAAGCGGGCAGACCUCUCGCUACCAAAAUCUCCCUUCCUGUUUCUAAGGAGCGACAGUUCGCCGCUCCAAAAACGUUAAGGCGGGCGGCGACGCGAAAAGCCAUUCCAUGGUGGCCCUUUCCUUCACUCGCUUUGUCGCCAUCUCUCUUUCUAGCGGGGUGUUGGUGUUAGGUUAUAGCAUAAACGGCCUUGCCUGAGAGAGGGAGGGGCUUUCUAUGGCAAUGGAGGAACCAGGGCAGCUUCAACGGGCGCUAAUUGAUGCCACAGCUGGAGCAUUCGCUGGUGCUAUAUCGCGUACAGUUACCUCGCCGCUUGAUGUUAUUAAGAUCAGAUUCCAGGUUCAACUAGAGCCCACAUUUACACGGGCUUUGGUUCGUGGAAAUAUUGGUGAAUCAUCAAAGUACACUGGAAUGUUGCAAGCAGCAAAAGACAUAUUUAGAGAGGAAGGCUUGCCGGGUUUCUGGCGUGGCAACGUCCCUGCUUUACUUAUGGUUAUGCCAUACACUGCCAUACAAUUUACAGUGUUACACAAAUUGAAAACUUUUGCAGCUGGUUCUUCAAAGUCAGAGAAUCACAUUCACUUGAGUCCGUACCUCUCUUAUGUCAGUGGGGCAUUAGCAGGAUGUGCAGCUACAGUUGGAUCAUAUCCAUUUGAUCUUCUAAGAACCAUAUUGGCUUCACAAGGUGAACCGAAGGUCUAUCCAACAAUGAGAUCUGCAUUUGUUGAUAUCAUCAGAACUCGUGGCUUUAGAGGCUUAUAUAAUGGACUAUCGCCAACACUGGUUGAGAUUGUUCCUUAUGCUGGCCUUCAGUUUGGCACCUAUGAUACUUUUAAACGUUGGACCAUGGCCUGGAACCGGCACAGGUUUUCUAAUACAAGCUUAACCAAUAUUGAUGAUAGUCUUUCAAGCUUUCAGCUUUUUGUCUGUGGAUUGGCUGCUGGAACAUGUGCCAAACUUGUCUGUCAUCCUCUUGAUGUGGUCAAAAAAAGGUUCCAGAUUCGAGGACUACAGAGGCAUCCAAAGUAUGGUGAGCGAGUUGAGAACUACAGAAAUAUGCUUGAUGCUCUGCGAAGAAUCUUUCAAGCGGAGGGUUGGGCUGGCCUUUAUAAGGGCAUUGUACCUUCAACCAUCAAGGCUGCGCCAGCUGGUGCUGUAACGUUUGUAGCUUAUGAAUUCACAUCAGACUGGCUGGAGUCUAUUUUGACUUGAAACUAACAAAUAUUUUUUUUGUGUUAGUAUUUUCUUUUCUUAUUCAUUGGGAUCAUCUCAUUCUUUUUCCUAUAACCUUCAAAGGCCCCCAUAGAAGUGGGAUGAUUAUUGUUUCCUAUGAUUUAGUCAUUAUAAAAUAGGUGUAGUUUUGUACGUUUUAGGGUAAGAUAGCGAGGGUAAAAGUAGAUAUAGAGCUUGAAGUGAAUUUUGUAGUUUCUGCACUGCAGUUAACAAUAAUAUUUAUGAUCCAAUGGAGCUUGUUCAUGAUAU